RNAcentral lists this long non-coding RNA (763 nucleotides) under Homo sapiens (human). RNAcentral describes it as "non-protein coding lnc-TRIP10-1:2". The record is from RNAcentral. Lineage: Eukaryota; Metazoa; Chordata; Mammalia; Primates; Hominidae.
AAAAAAAAAGAAAGAAAGAAAUUCAUUUAUGUUUCAUAUAUACCUUGUACACAUAGACUGAAGAUAAUUUCAUAAAAUAGUAUUAAUAAUUUUGUGCAUGACACAAAGUUGGUGUACACUGAACCAUUUGAAAGCAAAGGUCACUGUCUCAGCCACCCAUGUGGACAAUCUGUGGUUGCUUGGCAUCAUCAUCAUUCCUUUUAUUUAUUUAUUAUUUUUAUUUUUAUCUUUUUUUGAGACAGAGUUAUGCUCUGUUGCCCAGGCUAGAGUGCAAUGGCGUGAUCUCAGCUCACCGCAACCUCCACCUCCUGGAUUCAAGCGAUUCUCUUGCCUUAGCCUCCCAAGUAGCUGGGAUUACAGGCACGUGCCACCAUGCCCAGCUAAUUUUGUAUUUUAGUAGAAAUGAGGUUUCACCAUGUUGACCAGGCUGGUCUCGAGCUCCUGACCUCAGGUGAUCCACCUGCCUCGGCUGGAAUUCCAAAGUGCUGCGUUGUAACCGGGCAAGUUAUAGAGAAACGCCACACUCUUAGACUAAUUAAGGAGUCCUUUAUUAGCCGGCGACUGAGAGAUGGCUAGCGCUCAAAAUUCUCUCAGCCCCGAAGAAGGGGCUAGGUUUCUUUUUAUACCUUGGUUUAGAAGGGGAGGAGGGAGCAGAGCUGAAGCAAUUUUAUGGAAGCAAAACAGGCAAGAAAAUUAAAAAGAUAAAUGGUAAAAGGAAAACAAACAGUUCCAGGUGCAGGGGCUUUAAAUCUAUCACAAGGUG